Long non-coding RNA from Varroa destructor (honeybee mite), 1637 nucleotides. RefSeq lists it as uncharacterized. The record is from RefSeq and is a predicted model, not a curated record. Lineage: Eukaryota; Metazoa; Arthropoda; Arachnida; Mesostigmata; Varroidae.
CAAAGCGAAAACGUUAUGCGUUUUUGUUAUCAGCCCGUCCUACCGUUUGCUUACUUGCAGUUGAAGGAUUGUGUUGCAACAAGGUUUGGAUGGACGCCGUUUUCCAGCGGAGAUCCGAGUAAAAGUAUCUGUAUCUAACUUCGUGAGUGCACGUCUCGCUUAGAGGUCGUUGUACAACUUAAAGUUAGCGCGCAGGGCCGAAUUUUCCCGGUAUAAAUACACCCCCAAUUUGCAGGCUACUUACGUGUCGCAUCUGCGGCAUCCUGGCACAGUGUCUGCGUAUCCUAUCCGCUAUUGUUUACCUUCCUGAACGGGUUUUGUUGCGGCCUAUGUUUUCAUUAAAGUGACAAAAUCGAUCACGGCGUUCGCGAUUACUACGUACGGAGAACCAGUAGGGAAGAUCAAUUGAUCAUGCCAAUUCGUGACUGAAUGGGACGCGGUUCUUUUGCAGGCUGAGAUCAUCGCCACCUAUGCAAUGGCUGAAUAGAUGUAUCCAUUCAACCAUGCAUGGUGUCCUACGUGCUGUUCCAUUGAAAUGGGGAGUUCAAAGACAAAAACACAACGACGAAAAUCGCCGGGAGAAAAUCUCGUAAAUAUUAUGAUCGGGUCGGCACACUCAAAGCCAUCAGGCGCCAGCUGAACGUCAGGUCAUCAGAGCGGACCUUCGACGUUCACAGUUAACACACGGAUGCGGCUGUCCCUGACCGAUACUUACUUCCACACCAUCCAUAUUGAAGUCUUAUUGGAAAUUGACGGGAUAAUUAAUGAUAUCGGUAUGAACGUCUGCGUGCAGAAGAUGCACAGCACGGCACUCAUCUGGACCUUCAGACGCAGAACACUGGUGCCAACGAACCCAUGUGCAGUCGAACGUUGUGCCCUGUAGGGUCGAGCCAGGCCGCAGCGGAAGUAGUCUUCCCAACGCGACAUAAUCGGCCGCCCUUCCUUUCUCCGGGAACCUGUAUUACUACCAAUCACGACAUCGCCGUUUUCGAGAAAGCGUACCCGUCGGUAUGUGCAACACCAGUUGCAUAUACCCAUUCCUUUGAUAGGGUGUAUAUGUUCAUGGGCAGAGCAAGCAAUACCGAGCUCAAAUAGUAACCUUAACAAUAUAGAACAAUCCUAGAACGCCGUCAUUGGCCAGUCGGUUGUCGACACAUACAUGUUAAACCCAUGCGUUAAAAUGAGGCUUGUAGAAUCUGCAGUAAUCCGGUGCGCCAACAGCUAACCUGGCCUUCAGGUACGUACGUGAGGCCGGGCGGCGAGCCUAGAUAGGUACCAGGGGAGAACCAGCGUAGUAAAUAAGCGUAUGGACUGUAAAUCUGUAGUCGAGCAUGCUCUACACAGUACCCAGCACUGUGUAGAGCAUGCUCGGCUAGCGCUAUAAGAAAUGGCAUAAGCCUACAUGAGAUGUUGACUAGGGGCAUAAUAGCGUAUACUAUUGUUUUGUCAAAUUGGUGUAUGUGCUCCAACGAUAAGGCAAUGGACGUGAAUCAUACUUACAGGACAUACUAAACUGCUUCCAGACUUAUUCUAUAAAAUGAAGUAAACAAUAGGCUAUUAGAGGAGCAGCUGUAAGGACCUAGUAUGGAGUGUCUAUAACUGCACGUGUACGUUCGGUGGAUUGCGAUCGAAUCACG